Molecule: ribosomal RNA, 258 nt
Filed under: uncultured archaeon
Lineage: Archaea
Description: partial 16S ribosomal RNA
Rfam family: Archaeal small subunit ribosomal RNA
Source: RNAcentral
CAGCCGUAAACAAUGUGCGUUAGGUGUGUCGGUAACCACGUGUUACUGAUGCGCCGAAGAGAAAUCGUGAAACGCACCACCUGGGAAGUACGGUCGCAAGGCUGAAACUUAAAGGAAUUGGCGGGGGAGCACCACAACAGGUGGAGCCUGCGGUUUAAUUGGAUUCAACGCCGGACAUCUCACCGGAUAAGACAGCUGAAUGAUUGUCAAUCUGAAGGUUUUACAUGACUAGCUGAGAGGAGGUGCAUGGCGUCAGUG